UACAGAGGGUGCGAGCGUUAAUCGGAGUUACUGGGCGUAAAGGGCGCGUAGGCGGUUAUUUAAGAUUGAUGUGAAAUCCCUGGGCUUAACCUAGGAACUGCAUUGAUUACUGGAUAGCUGGAGUAUUGUAGAGGGUAGCGGAAUUUCCGGUGUAGCGGUGAAAUGCGUAGAGAUCGGAAGGAACACCAGUGGCGAAGGCGGCUACCUGGACAAAUACUGACGCUGAGGCGCGAAAGCGUGGGGAGCAAACAGG
RNAcentral lists this ribosomal RNA (253 nucleotides) under uncultured bacterium. RNAcentral's name for it is "partial 16S ribosomal RNA". It matches the Rfam family "Bacterial small subunit ribosomal RNA", at positions 524 to 776 of the family's 1533-position model. The record is from RNAcentral.